AUAUCAGUCAUGCAUAGCAUAUCAAUAAGCGGAGGAAAAGGAACUAACAAGGAUUCCCUUAGUAACGGCGAGUGAAGCGGGAAGAGCUCAAAUUUGAAAUCUUCAAGGUUUUACCUUGACGAAUUGUAGUUUAAAGAAGUGUUUUCUGUUGAAGUUUUGGUAAAAGUUCUUUGGAAUAGGACAUCAUAGAGGGUGAGAAUCCCGUAUUUGACCAUUACUUUCAGCUUUGUGAUACACUUUCAAAGAGUCGGAUUGUUUGGGAAUGCAGUCCAAAAUGGGUGGUAAAUUUCAUCUAAAGCUAAAUAUUGGCGAGAGACCGAUAGCGAACAAGUACCGUGAGGGAAAGAUGAAAAGAACUUUGAAAAGAGAGUUAAACAGUACGUGAAAUUGUCAAAAGGGAAGCGUUUGACACCAGUGUUGUUUUCUCGAAAAUCAAUUAAAAAGAGUUGGAUUUUGUGUUGUAUUGACUUUAUCAGCUUUCUUCACUCUUUUCCAGCUUUUUUUAAUGCACUUUUCGUUUAACAAGUCAACAUCAGUUUCUUUUGUUGUAAAAAGGUCAUUGGAAGGUGGCUUUCUCUUCGGAGAAAGUGUUUAUAGCCUUUGACUCAUGCAAUCGGAGAGACUGAGGUCUGCAGCGUAGAUCCUUCGGGGUUAGAUACAUUUGUGCUAAGUUAUAGCUUUUCAUAGACAACUUGUUGACUAUGUUUAGUCUUGUAGCUUACUCGCUUAUGCUAUUUUACCUACGCUUAGGAUGUUGAACUCUAUCACACACAG
RNAcentral lists this ribosomal RNA (774 nucleotides) under uncultured Neocallimastigales. RNAcentral's name for it is "partial large subunit ribosomal RNA". It matches the Rfam family "Eukaryotic large subunit ribosomal RNA", at positions 22 to 621 of the family's 3401-position model. The record is from RNAcentral. Lineage: Eukaryota; Fungi; Neocallimastigomycota; Neocallimastigomycetes; Neocallimastigales.